GGCCUUUUGAUUAUAAUUUAAGGUCUGACCUGCCCAAUGAGAAUUUAAAUGGCCGCGGUAUUUUGACCGUGCAAAGGUAGCAUAAUCAUUAGUUUUUUAAUUGAAAGCUGGAAUGAAAGGUUGGAUGAAAAAAUAACUGUCUCUAUUUAAAUUUUUUAGAAAUUUAUUUUUAAGUCAAAAAGCUUAAAUAUUACUAGAAGACGAGAAGACCCUAUAGAGUUUUAUUAAUUUUUAUUAUAAGUUUUUUAGAAUUUACUUUUUUAUUAUAAAAAUUAAUUUGAUUGGGGUGAUUGAAAAAUUUAAUAAACUUUUUUUAUAUAAACACAUUUAUAUAUGAGUGAAUGAUCCUUAAAUAAAGAUUAUAAGAUACAAUUACCUUAGGGAUAACAGCGUAAUUUUUUUAAAGAGUUCAAAUCGAAAAAAAAGAUUGCGACCUCGAUGUUGGAUUAAAAUAAAAUUUUGGUGUAGAAGCUAAAAUAUUUAGGUCUGUUCGACCUUUAAAAUUUUACAUGAUCUGAGUUUAAACCGGUGUGAGCCAGGUUGGUUUCUAUCUCUAUUAAAUUUUAAUACUUUAGUACGAAAGGACCAAGUAUUUCAUUAAAAAUUUCGUUUAAGAAUAAAAUUGUUAUUUUGGCAGAAAAGUGCAAUAGAUUUAGAAUCUUUAUAUGUAAAUUAAUUUACAAAUAAUACUUGAUAAUAAAGGACUUAUUUUUAAUAUUAAUCUCUAGUUUAAUUUUAAGUAUCUCUGUUUUAGUUGGAGUGGCUUUUUUAACCUUAUUAGAACGUAAAGUUUU
This 794-nucleotide ribosomal RNA is filed under the name Antarctobius cf. vulsus MSL2007. RNAcentral describes it as "partial 16S ribosomal RNA". The stretch from base 1 to 578 matches the Rfam family "Bacterial large subunit ribosomal RNA", at positions 1819 to 2925 of the family's 2925-position model. The record is from RNAcentral. Lineage: Eukaryota; Metazoa; Arthropoda; Insecta; Coleoptera; Curculionidae.